UGCGCAGGCGGUUUGCUAAGACAGGUGUGAAAUCCCCGGGCUUAACCUGGGAACUGCGCUUGUAACUGGCAAGCUAGAGUGUGGCAGGAGGGGGGUGGAAUUCCACGUGUAGCAGUAGAAAUGCGUAGAGAUGUGGAGGAACACCGAUGGCGAAGGCACGCCCCCUGGGCUAACACUGACGCUCAUGCAGAAAGCGUGGGGAGCAAACGA
This 210-nucleotide ribosomal RNA is filed under the name uncultured bacterium. Its description in RNAcentral is "partial 16S ribosomal RNA". It matches the Rfam family "Bacterial small subunit ribosomal RNA", at positions 568 to 775 of the family's 1533-position model. The record is from RNAcentral.